RNAcentral lists this long non-coding RNA (226 nucleotides) under Elaeis guineensis (African oil palm). Its description in RNAcentral is "long non-coding RNA (EGUI_LNC035896)". Lineage: Eukaryota; Viridiplantae; Streptophyta; Magnoliopsida; Arecales; Arecaceae. The record is from RNAcentral.
GCCCCCAGGUGACUUCUGCAAGCUCCCUCAUGUACCUCCCACAAAGCAUAGUCGGCCGCAGAAGGUCAGAGACAUUUUAAAAGGGGAAAAGAGUAUGACCUCUUAUAUAGCUUGCCUUCAUAAAGAAUAUAUCGGGAGGCCUAGUUUCUAAGCUUCCAAGCUUCGUUUGCAUCAGGAGGAAGAACCCAUCCUUGAGGUAUGCAACCAGUGGGUCAAUCCAGUUGGG